CGUGUAGUUGGAGGAGCUUUUAAAGAAAGAUGUCAUUUUACCCCCUUUAUUUUUGGACUGAUGUUAUUACAAUUCUUUAUUCAAUUUGGUAAUGAUGAACACAAUUGAUCAGGAAGAGGAGCAGAAGUUAAGAAAAGUUGCCCUCAAUAUUUCAAAGGAUGUAAAGAAAUUCGCUGGCAAGUCAUCUCCGGAACUUGCUUUACACUUUGAUUUGACUAAAUAUCUAGUUAUCAUGGUAGUGCAGGUGUUAUACAAGCAUCAGUUGGAGCUUGAUGUGAUAAAGAAGAAAGCUCUUGAUAAACAGCUUGAGUUCCUUCUAGCAAACUGACAGGUAUUAUUACUAUAUUAUAUGGGAACUUUUUGACUAUCUGCCUGAGAAUUUUAUGUGGAAAUAUCCCCAAGGAGGAUCAACAUCAUCAGGUACUCAUCAAUGCUGGCUGAAAAUCUUGUUAAUCCACCAAGUCUUUGCAAGCCAUCUUACUUAUAAAAUGCUGAAACAAACCCGAGUACUUCUGCAAGAAGAGGUGGCGAAUCAGAUAAUGGCAUGGGAUAAAAUUUUGAAAUUGGUCUAUUCUAUUGUGUUAUAGCUUGCUUGAGUUUUGAUCCUUUGAUAAUGCUAGGAUCCCAGUCAGAUAUCCCUGCUGCAGAUGCAGAUUAUGUUUUGCAAGCCAGAGAAAGUUUCAAAUCCAAAUACUGUCUAUCUUUCUUGGAGAUUUUAAGCAAUCUUUUCAAGUUUGUGUUGGA
Molecule: long non-coding RNA, 744 nt
Organism: Salvia splendens (bonfire salvia)
Lineage: Eukaryota; Viridiplantae; Streptophyta; Magnoliopsida; Lamiales; Lamiaceae
Exons: 2
Source: RefSeq, a predicted model, not a curated record